RNAcentral lists this ribosomal RNA (249 nucleotides) under uncultured bacterium. RNAcentral's name for it is "partial 16S ribosomal RNA". It matches the Rfam family "Bacterial small subunit ribosomal RNA", at positions 796 to 1041 of the family's 1533-position model. The record is from RNAcentral.
CACGCCGUAAACGAUGAGAACUGGUUUUUGGGGGUAUUGACUCCUUCAGAAACGAAGCUAACGCGUUAAGUUCUCCGCCUGGGAAGUACGGUCGCAAGACUAAAACUCAAAGGAAUUGACGGGGGCCCGCACAAGCGGUGGAUUAUGUGGUUUAAUUCGAAGCAACGCGCAGAACCUUACCUAGGCUUGAAAUCCUACGAAUUCGGCGUAAUGGUCGAAGUGCCCUUCGGGGAACGUAGAGACAGGUGC